Molecule: non-coding RNA, 207 nt
Organism: Pelobates cultripes (western spadefoot toad)
Lineage: Eukaryota; Metazoa; Chordata; Amphibia; Anura; Pelobatidae
Source: the annotation of a GenBank genome assembly
GCCUGUCUCUGGCGCCAUCUUGUCCCCUCAUUGUAGGAUUGUGUUUUUUUUCCUUCCGUUGAGGCUUCGCUUCUCCUGAGAUUCCGUUCGUGUUGUCGCCAUGGGGAGGAAGAAGAAGAAGCAGCUGAAGCCCUGGUGCUGGUAUCCUUCUCUGUGGGACGGUGUGGGCUGUGUGUUUAUAAUAUAUUGAUGGCGGGGUCUGUUACU